GAUGAACGCUAGCGGCAGGCUUAAUACAUGCAAGUUGAGGGGCAGCAUGAUAUACGCGAGUAUAUUGAUGGCGACCGGCGGACGGGUGAGUAAUAGGUAGGAGACCUACCUCAUACAGGGGGAUAGCAUAGAGAAAUCUGUGGUAAUACCCCAUGAGGUUAUAUGAAUAGAGGCAUAUAAUCAAAAGCAUAAGCGAUUAUGCGGUAUGAGAGGGGCCUACUGACCAUUAGCUAGUUGGUGAGGUAAGGGCUCACCAAGGCGAAGAUGGUUAGGGGUUUUGAGAGAGAGACCCCCCACAUUGGAACUGAGAGACGGUCCAGACUCCUACGGGAGGCAGCAGUAGGGAAUAUUGGGCAAUGGGCGAAAAGCCUGACCCAAGCAAACGCCGCGUGAAGGAUGAAGUAUUCGGUAUGUAAACUUCGAAAGAAUAGGAAGAAAUUAAUGAGGUACUAUUUAUAAAGGUCCGGCUAAACUACGUGCCAGCAGCCGUCCGGUAAU
Molecule: ribosomal RNA, 498 nt
Filed under: uncultured bacterium
Lineage: Bacteria
Description: bacterial SSU rRNA
Rfam family: Bacterial small subunit ribosomal RNA
Source: RNAcentral